GGAGUCUGGGCCGUAUCUCAGUCCCAAUGUGUCCGUUCACCCUCUCAGGCCGGAUACCCGUCAUCGCCUUGGUGGGCCUUUUCCCCGCCAACAAGCUGAUGGGCCGCGGGCCGUUCCCCCUGCGGAGCCGUAGCUCCUUUCAUGUACUCCCUUCCAGAAGCACAUCUCAUCCGGUAUUACCCUGUGUUUCCACAGGCUGUCCCCGUCAGGAGGGUGCGUUACCCACGUGUUACUCACCAGUCCGCCGCUCUCCAGUGUAGCAAGCUACACCUUCCCGCUCGACUUGCAUGCUUAAGACGCGCCGCCAGCGUUCGUU
RNAcentral lists this ribosomal RNA (316 nucleotides) under uncultured Treponema sp. Its description in RNAcentral is "partial 16S ribosomal RNA". Lineage: Bacteria; Pseudomonadati; Spirochaetota; Spirochaetia; Treponematales; Treponemataceae. The record is from RNAcentral.